UUAAGCACAGCUACGUGCUCAGUUUACCCAGCAUUCAUAAAGAAGGUUAAGGGAAAAGACCUCUCGAAAAGUGCUAGUUAUGUAUUCUGGAAGUAGCCUGCAGGGCUUCGAGAAUCUUUUCUUUCAUUGAGCAGGUCCCUAUAAAAGCACGAGAGGACGCAACGCAAACAUAGUUGUCUCGAGUAUAGACCACGCCACUCGUGUCGAUUAGUCUUGUAUCACCGUUCACCUACAAGGUCCAAGAACACCACGAUGAAGACAACGGUGCUGAUACUGGCCGUCCUUCUUAUCUCAGCAGUGAUGCUGACGGAGGGGUCUCCGGCUAAACCUUCAACAUCCGGUUCCCGGAAGGCUUCGCGAGGCGAGAAAUGUGGGAACCAGUACUGCCAGCCAAAUGAGAAAUGUGAGGCAACCUAUUUGGGGCUUUAUUGCACGAUUAAAUAAUACAAGUAGAAGACCCAUGGAUGGACACCAACGAGAUCGACCUGCUUGGCUGCGGAAUAAAGUUACUUGCGUUCACCGA
Long non-coding RNA from Dermacentor andersoni, 523 nucleotides. RefSeq lists it as uncharacterized. NCBI's taxonomy places the organism in Eukaryota, Metazoa, Arthropoda, Arachnida, Ixodida, Ixodidae. The record is from RefSeq and is a predicted model, not a curated record.